Non-coding RNA from Schistosoma margrebowiei, 45 nucleotides. The record is from Rfam. Lineage: Eukaryota; Metazoa; Platyhelminthes; Trematoda; Strigeidida; Schistosomatidae.
AUCCAGCUGACGAGUCCCGAAUAGGACCAAACGUGCAUCCUAUAU